Molecule: ribosomal RNA, 477 nt
Filed under: uncultured bacterium
Lineage: Bacteria
Description: partial 16S ribosomal RNA
Rfam family: Bacterial small subunit ribosomal RNA
Source: RNAcentral
GAUGAACGCUGGCGGCGUGCCUAAUACAUGCAAGUCGAGCGAACAGACGAGGAGCUUGCUCCUCUGACGUUAGCGGCGGACGGGUGAGUAACACGUGGAUAACCUACCUAUAAGACUGGGAUAACUUCGGGAAACCGGAGCUAAUACCGGAUAAUAUAUUGAACCGCAUGGUUCAAUAGUGAAAGACGGUUUUGCUGUCACUUAUAGAUGGAUCCGCGCCGCAUUAGCUAGUUGGUAAGGUAACGGCUUACCAAGGCGACGAUGCGUAGCCGACAUGAGAGGGGAACCCGCAACAGGGGGACUGAGAUAAGGCCCAGAAGCGGACGGGAGGCAGAAGGGGGGAAGAUUGCACAAUGGUCGGAAGCCAGAUGCAGCAACGCCGCGCGCGGGAUGACGGACUGCGGGUGGUAAACCGCUUGCGCCGGUGACGAAGCGGGAGUGACGGGAACGGGUAAAGAAGAACCGGCUAACUACGUG